CUCCUCUGACGACGCAGGUGGCAGCGGGGUGCAGAGAGCUUCCGUGGAAGCAUCAUGUUGGUUUAAAAAGAGAAAAGAAAGCAGGUGGAGUGCCAAAAAUAAACCAAGAAUAGAACCUGAGACCGCGUCUGUCCGGCUGCUCCUGCUGCAACAGGGCUGGGGAGGGACCCACGGCAUUCCCACAGGAGCUGAGGAAGGGGUGACAGCUGUCAACCCCAGGGCUGUUUGGAGUGGCUGAAACAGCAGCGUAGCAAUGGACUGCUGUAGCAGAGGAGUUCAGCACAGCUCCAUCAAAUGGUUCUUUGGAUCGAGCAUAGAAACUGACACCAUUUAAACUACUGUGUCCUGAUUAGGUCAGAUCUCUUCCACCCGUACCCUGUAUCACCAGAGAACAGAAUUUCCAUGCAGCCACUGGUUUGUCCUCAGACAGCGGCACUAGAAGUUACCGCGUUCAGCUUUUGUCCUAUUGCCUGGCUUCCCUGCCCUUGAUCUUCUUCCAGCAGUGGAAACAGCUCUCAUCUUCUCUUGAAUGAGAAUAUCAGUCUACCAACACCAGGUGCUUCUUUCCUUUUUUAAGAGCUCUGUUCAGAGCAUUCCUCCAGAGUGGAACUCUGCUACUUGGCCAAACCAAACAGCACCAACAGCUGAGCAGCCACUAACAUGAUGACGCAGGAGCACACCAUCCAAAGCAGAAGAGAUUUUGCCCUAUUGAUUUAGAAGAAAUGAGGAAAUACGGGGAGUGUGAGAGCACUGAUGAGUCUGGAUUAAGAAAAAACAUAGCCAGGAUAAGGUUCUGUCAAUGGA
Gallus gallus (chicken) is the source of this 804-nucleotide long non-coding RNA. The record is from Ensembl. Lineage: Eukaryota; Metazoa; Chordata; Aves; Galliformes; Phasianidae.